AGGACCCCGCAAGGGGUUAGUAAAGUGGCGCACGGGUGAGUAACACGUGGGUAAUCUACCUUUUAGUUUGGGAUAACUCUUCGAAAGAAGAGCUAAUACCGGAGAGACCACAGGGACAUUAGUCCUAGGGGUUAAAGAUGGGGACCGUAAGGCCUAUCGCUAUUAGAUGAGCCCGCGCACUAUCAGCUAGUUGGUGAGGUAAUGGCUCACCAAGGCUAUGACGGUUAGCUGGUCUGAGAGGAUGAUCAGCCACACUGGAACUGAGACACGGUCCAGACUCCUACGGGAGGCAGCAGUGGGGAAUCUUGCACAAUGGGCGAAAGCCUGAUGCAGCAAUGCCGCGUGAGUGAUGAAGGCCUUCGGGUUGUAAAUCUCUGUCGGCUGGGAAAAAUGGCUUUGCACUGAAUAAUUGCAAAGAAUGAUGGUACCAGCAAAGGAAGAGGCGGCUAACUCUGUGCCAGCAGCCGCGGUAAUACAGAGGCCUCGAGCGUUGUUCGGAAUUACUGGGCGUAAAGGGAAUGUAGGUGGUGACGUAAGUCAGAUGUGAAAGCCCUGGGCUUAACCCGGGAAGUGCAUUUGAUACUGCGUUGCUUGAGUAUGAGAGAGGAAAGCGGAAUUCCCAGUGUAGGAGUGAAAUCCGUAGAUAUUGGGAGGAAUACCGAUGGCGAAGGCAGCUUUCUGGCUCGUAACUGACACUGAGAUUCGAAAGCGUGGGUAGCAAACAGGAUUAGAUACCCUGGUAGUCCACGCCGUAAACGAUGGAUGCUUGUUGUUGGAUAGGUCAACCCUUCCAGUAACGAAGCUAACGCGUUAAGCAUCCCGCCUGGGGAGUACGGUCGCAAGA
RNAcentral lists this ribosomal RNA (844 nucleotides) under uncultured Pseudomonadota bacterium. Its description in RNAcentral is "bacterial SSU rRNA". It matches the Rfam family "Bacterial small subunit ribosomal RNA", at positions 71 to 893 of the family's 1533-position model. Lineage: Bacteria; Pseudomonadati; Pseudomonadota. The record is from RNAcentral.